AUGCGAUAAGUAAUGUGAAUUGCAGAAUUCAGUGAAUCAUCGAGUCUUUGAACGCACAUUGCGCCCCCUGGUAUUCCGGGGGGCAUGCCUGUCCGAGCGUCAUUGCUGCCCUCAAGCACGGCUUGUGUGUUGGGCCCUCGUCCCCCGGGACGGGCCCGAAAGGCAGCGGCGGCACCGCGUCCGGUCCUCGAGCGUAUGGGGCUUCGUCACCCGCUCUGUAGGCCCGGCCGGCGUCUGCCGACACCAUCAAUCUUUUUUCCAGGUUGACCUCGGAUCAGGUAGGGAUACCCGCUGAACUUAA
RNAcentral lists this unclassified non-coding RNA (301 nucleotides) under uncultured Penicillium. RNAcentral describes it as "partial contains 5.8S ribosomal RNA, internal transcribed spacer 2, and large subunit ribosomal RNA". The stretch from base 1 to 102 matches the Rfam family "5.8S ribosomal RNA", at positions 53 to 154 of the family's 154-position model. Lineage: Eukaryota; Fungi; Ascomycota; Eurotiomycetes; Eurotiales; Aspergillaceae. The record is from RNAcentral.